This 230-nucleotide ribosomal RNA is filed under the name uncultured bacterium. RNAcentral describes it as "partial 16S ribosomal RNA". It matches the Rfam family "Bacterial small subunit ribosomal RNA", at positions 333 to 580 of the family's 1533-position model. The record is from RNAcentral.
UGCCGCCUACGGGGGGCAGCAGUGGGGGAUAUUGCACAAUGGGGGGAACCCUGAUGCAGCGACGCCGCGUGGGCGAUGGAGUGCUUCGGCAUGUAAAGCCCCAUCAGCAGGGAAGAAAAUGACGGUACCUGACUAAGAAGCCCCGGCUAAAUACGUGCCAGCAGCCGCGGUAAUACGUAUGGGGCAAGCGUUAUCCGGAUUUACUGGGUGUAACGGGAGCGUAGGCGGCC